CUGGCGGGAGCAAGCGUCCGUCUGAGCUCUGGACGGUUCGUCUACGACGGCCACACAGAAAAGCACGGACACCCGUGGGCACCUCAGCCAGCUGCUGGCUGUGACCUGCCCCUGGGGGAGCGCGUGCCGGGCACCCACCCGAGCACGGAAUGUACGGUGAGGCCGUCCAGAUACGAGCAUCCCACGUGAGACUGAAGAGGCGCAGUGGGCUGUCCGGCCCGGGGCCCCCAGCGCCGCGGCCCCCCAAAGCAGGGAGACUGCUAGGACCCCCCCAAGCCUGGAGGGAGGAAGCACAGCAGGGAGCGCCCCACCUUCCCUCAGCCGGGGACUCUGGGCAAAUUCUCUCCAUCCUUGACCCUGCCUUUGCCCACUGGAAAAGUUGGAUCCUAAGAGGACGCAGCCCUCAGGGCUCUGACCUGCCAGAAGGAGUCAACAUGGGCUCUGGGGAGCGGCCCCCGGAGCAGCAUGGGCGCUCCCGAAGCAAGACCCGAAGCCAUCACUGUGAGCCGUUCUGUCUCCCAAGCGCGCCGUGACACAGGCCCGGCUUUGGAGCUGGAACCAGACGGUUCCCCCCGAGGACCCCGGCAGCCACGCCUUCCUGCCCCCACUCCUCCCGUGAGCGUUGAAAGAAAAAAAAAAAAAACCCAAAGUCUGUUAUUAAAUCAGCUUCAUUUUUAUUGGGUUCCAACCAAACACAGCAAGAGGGGGCUGGGGGCUUGGGGGGUUCCGGGUUCAUGUUGGGGUGGGAGGUGGGGGAUCCCAGGGCACCGCCGGUGUGCGUGUCCUGACGCUGCUGAGAACACACCCGCCCAUCGCUGAUGAUGCUAAAGGCACUUGGAUGUCAUUUUGAGGGGCCCUUGGGGUUGUUAUGGCAACCAAGGUCAGGAGGAUGUGAAGGGAGAAAACCAGUCGGUUCUGCCCCACUCAGGCGGAGUUCGGGGGCACAGGACACCCCCUUCAGCCAUCGCUGCGUCCCGCCACGAGUGGGGUUGAGGCAGGAGGGAGCAGGACCAAGGCCUACCGUGUCCAGCCACACAGCCCGGGAGGAGGGCCAGUAUCCCCUCCAGGUUCUGUCUGGAUCCUGUGCUCAAAACCCCCAGUCUUGGCCCAGCUUUCUCUCUGGCUCAUCUCAGAAAGAUCUUGAAGGAUCUGGGAUCCAGGACAACCAUCAAGCCGGUCCGGGCACGUGGCCUCAGAUAUGUGCAGCCGUGGAUUUGACCUCAGACCUACAUUACAGACGAGGACCCCAGGGUCCAGGGGUUCUCAGCCAUCAGCUAUAAUUGUACUCCUGGAAGGGAACAGACCUG
This is a long non-coding RNA of Neogale vison (American mink), 1307 nucleotides long. RefSeq lists it as uncharacterized. The transcript is spliced from 3 exons. The record is from RefSeq and is a predicted model, not a curated record. Lineage: Eukaryota; Metazoa; Chordata; Mammalia; Carnivora; Mustelidae.